Molecule: ribosomal RNA, 496 nt
Filed under: uncultured bacterium
Lineage: Bacteria
Description: partial 16S ribosomal RNA
Rfam family: Bacterial small subunit ribosomal RNA
Source: RNAcentral
GAUGAACGCUGGCGGCGUGCCUAAUACAUGCAAGUCGAGCGAACGGACGAGAAGCUUGCUUCUCUGAUGUUAGCGGCGGACGGGUGAGUAACACGUGGAUAACCUACCUAUAAGACUGGGAUAACUUCGGGAAACCGGAGCUAAUACCGGAUAAUAUUUUGAACCGCAUGGUUCAAAAGUGAAAGACGGUCUUGCUGUCACUUAUAGAUGGAUCCGCGCUGCAUUAGCUAGUUGGUAAGGUAACGGCUUACCAAGGCAACGAUGCAUAGCCGACCUGAGAGGGUGAUCGGCAACACGGAACCGAGGACCCGGUCCGAAUCCCUACGGGAGGCAGCGGUAGGGAAUUUCCGCAAUGGGCGAAAGCCUGACGGAGCAACGCCGCGUGAGUGAUGAAGGUCUUCGGAUCGUAAAACUCUGUUAUUAGGGAAGAACAUAUGUGUAAGUAACUGUGCACAUCUUGACGGUACCUAAUCAGAAAGCCACGGCUAACUACGUG